This 497-nucleotide ribosomal RNA is filed under the name uncultured bacterium. RNAcentral's name for it is "partial 16S ribosomal RNA". It matches the Rfam family "Bacterial small subunit ribosomal RNA", at positions 28 to 507 of the family's 1533-position model. The record is from RNAcentral.
GAUGAACGCUGGCGGCGUGCCUAAUACAUGCAAGUCGAGCGAACGGACGAGAAGCUUGCUUCUCUGAUGUUAGCGGCGGACGGGUGAGUAACACGUAGAUAACCUACCUAUAAUACUGGGAUAACUUCGGGAAACCGGAGCUAAUACCGGAUAAUAUUUUGAACCGCAUGGUUCAAAAGUGAAAGACGGUCUUGCUGUCACUUAUAGAUGGAUCCGCGCUGCAUUAGCUAGUUGGUAAGGUAACGGCUUACCAAGGCAACGAUGCAUAGCCGACCUGAGAGGAUGAUCGGCCACACUGGAACUGAGACACGGUCCAGACUCCUACGGGAGGCAGCAGUAGGGAAUCUUCCGCAAUGGGCGCAAGCCUGACGGAGCAACGCCGCGUGAGUGAUGAAGGUCUUCGGAUCGUAAAACUCUGUUAUUAGGGAAGAACAGAUGUGUAAGUAACUGUGCACAUCUUGACGGUACCUAAUCAGAAAGCCACGGCUAACUACGUG